AUUGAACGCUGGCGGCAGGCCUAACACAUGCAAGUCGAGCGGAUGAGAGGAGCUUGCUCCUUGAUUUAGCGGCGGACGGGUGAGUAAUGCCUAGGAAUCUGCCUGGUAGUGGGGGAUAACGUUCCGAAAGGAACGCUAAUACCGCAUACGUCCUACGGGAGAAAGCAGGGGACCUUCGGGCCUUGCGCUAUCAGAUGAGCCUAGGUCGGAUUAGCUAGUUGGUGAGGUAAUGGCUCACCAAGGCGACGAUCCGUAACUGGGCUGAGAGGAUGAUCAGUCACACUGGAACUGAGACACGGUCCAGACUCCUACGGGAGGCAGCAGUGGGGAAUAUUGGACAAUGGGCGAAAGCCUGAUCCAGCCAUGCCGCGUGUGUGAAGAAGGUCUUCGGAUUGUAAAGCACUUUAAGUUGGGAGGAAGGGCAGUAAGCUAAUACCUUGCUGUUUUGACGUUACCGACAGAAUAAGCACCGGCUAACUUCGUG
This 484-nucleotide ribosomal RNA is filed under the name uncultured bacterium. RNAcentral's name for it is "partial 16S ribosomal RNA". It matches the Rfam family "Bacterial small subunit ribosomal RNA", at positions 30 to 507 of the family's 1533-position model. The record is from RNAcentral.